UACGUAGGGGGCAAGCGUUGUCCGGAAUCAUUGGGCGUAAAGCGCGUGUAGGCGGCCAGAAAAGUCCGCUGUGAAAACUCGAGGCUCAACUUCGAGCUGUCGGUGGAAACUUUCUGGCUAGGGUCCGGAAGAGGAGAAUGGAAUUCCUGGUGUAGCGGUGAAAUGCGCAGAUAUCAGGAAGAACACCCGUGGCGAAGGCGGUUCUCUGGGAAGGUACUGACGCUGAGACGCGAAAGCGUGGGGAGCGAACAGG
Molecule: ribosomal RNA, 253 nt
Filed under: uncultured bacterium
Lineage: Bacteria
Description: partial 16S ribosomal RNA
Rfam family: Bacterial small subunit ribosomal RNA
Source: RNAcentral